ACUAUAACCUUCGUGAGACAAGCUUCUUACCACUUUUGAUUUGGAAGUCUCCCUAUUUGCAGUUUUUUACUAACUUAAUAUUUAUAUUAAGAAAAGCACCCUGAAUUUUCUUUUGACAGUUUUUGAUGUCAGAAGCAGGAUCAGAAGAAGACCCCUGUGAAGCCCCAAGGCCAGUAACUAGGUGCUGGUACCCAGGGCCGCAGCACUGGCUGCUCUCUCACCCAGCCAUGGAGUUCUAGAGUAAGUCUCUUUUGAAUCUGAGCUCUCCUCCUUCUGUGUAGAACUCUCCAAUUAUGCUGAACAACCUUUGCUGAAACUUCUCAGGAAGUCAACCUAUUCUGUUCAAAAGGGGGAAGGGUGAAACACAUGAUUCCCUGUGUUCCAGAGCAGCUGCUGAAAAAAGAAUCCUUAAUAGUUAAGACCUUUCAGAGAAUCUAAUGCAAAGAUGGGGUCCAAAAACACUGUGGAUCAGAAUCUUGUGAACUUUACAAAGUUCACAAGAAAAAAUAGGUGAACUUUACAAAGAAUAAUUUGCAAUUUCAGUGACCACUUCGGAGAACCUUUAAUUUAGGUAAGAUAGUCUGCCUUUGGGAGUGCCCUUGAAGGAGGAGUAUCCUAAGCCUUUUGGAGACAAUGGAAUGCAUUCUUUGAUUUGUAUGCAGAAGCUGCUGAACACAAAAUGACUCAAAAAUAGCUUCUCUAAAAGCAUCCCUACAGCACUCAAAUAAAAAAAAAAUCUUCACUAAAAAGCUGUAGCCAUCUGAGCAGGUAACCUUGACUUGUUCCAUCUCUCACAGGUACAAUUUGGAUCCAGC
RNAcentral lists this long non-coding RNA (815 nucleotides) under Homo sapiens (human). RNAcentral describes it as "non-protein coding lnc-C2orf71-7:3". Lineage: Eukaryota; Metazoa; Chordata; Mammalia; Primates; Hominidae. The record is from RNAcentral.